RNAcentral lists this ribosomal RNA (429 nucleotides) under Chloroflexota bacterium. Its description in RNAcentral is "Chloroflexi bacterium partial 16S ribosomal RNA". It matches the Rfam family "Bacterial small subunit ribosomal RNA", at positions 355 to 776 of the family's 1533-position model. Lineage: Bacteria; Bacillati; Chloroflexota. The record is from RNAcentral.
UGGGGAAUAUUGCACAAUGGGCGCAAGCCUGAUGCAGCCAUGCCGCGUGUAUGAAGAAGGCCUUCGGGUUGUAAAGUACUUUCAGCGGGGAGGAAGGGAGUAAAGUUAAUACCUUUGCUCAUUGACGUUACCCGCAGAAGAAGCACCGGCUAACUCCGUGCCAGCAGCCGCGGUAAUACGGAGGGUGCAAGCGUUAAUCGGAAUUACUGGGCGUAAAGCGCACGCAGGCGGUUUGUUAAGUCAGAUGUGAAAUCCCCGGGCUCAACCUGGGAACUGCAUCUGAUACUGGCAAGCUUGAGUCUCGUAGAGGGGGUUAGAAUUCCAGGUGUAGCGGUGAAAUGCUUAGAGAUCUGGAGGAAUACCGGUGGCGAAGGCGGCCCCCUGGACGAAGACUGACGCUCAGGUGCGAAAGCGUGGGGAGCAAACAGG